RNAcentral lists this microRNA (22 nucleotides) under Caenorhabditis elegans. RNAcentral's name for it is "Cel-Mir-1817_3p* (star (passenger))". Lineage: Eukaryota; Metazoa; Nematoda; Chromadorea; Rhabditida; Rhabditidae. The record is from RNAcentral.
UGAUAGUGAAAUAUUUGCUUCC